Paramormyrops kingsleyae is the source of this 442-nucleotide long non-coding RNA. RefSeq lists it as uncharacterized. The record is from RefSeq and is a predicted model, not a curated record. NCBI's taxonomy places the organism in Eukaryota, Metazoa, Chordata, Actinopteri, Osteoglossiformes, Mormyridae.
AUCAAAGUGGUUUCUUUCCGGUCUCCAGCACUGAUGGUAUAUGUAAGGGUCAUCCUAACUCAGCCACUUAUUCAUUUAGCGUAACAUCAACAUGGAGCCCAACCCAAAGCACAGGGUUUAAGGAACCCUUUGGCAAGGUGUGCGGGCUCUCUGUCAUCCAAUGAGCCUCCCUCAUUUCAGAAGCUGGAUGCAUGAAAGAAAGACACGGCAUGCGACAGAAGACAUGAAGAGCACGGGAGUGACAGAGAUAUCAAGCAAGCGUCAGCGGAACGUACAACUCAUGGUCACGUGAUUCUCAGCUGCAAAGAGUUAUUUAUCCAAUCAAUCUUCUGACCACUUAUCCUGGGCAGCAUCACGGAGGGGGGCGGAGCCUACCCCGGGCGGGACAGACCACGAGGGUGGGGGCAGUCUGGACGGAACGCCAAUCCAUCACAGGCCAGUC